This is a long non-coding RNA of Macaca fascicularis (crab-eating macaque), 2114 nucleotides long. The record is from Ensembl. NCBI's taxonomy places the organism in Eukaryota, Metazoa, Chordata, Mammalia, Primates, Cercopithecidae.
CAGAAUAGUUGGUUGAUUGGCUUCAAACCAAACAGUCCAAUAACUGAUGCAUUAAAUCUUUAUUGACUAAACAGCUUAAAAAUUAUUACUGCUAUUUCCUUUAUUUGUUGUUGUGAAUUUUACUCAGAAUUAAAGAUAAAUGAUUAUAUUAGUAAUUACAGGAAAACUAGUAAAAAUCUUAAAGACAUUGAAUGGGUUAAUGUACUGAGCAGCUAUGGAAUGCAAGGCACUGUGGGAGUGGGGUGAGUCUACUCCCCCCAAAGGCUCAGGGUCUGGCAGGGGAGGUGAGAUAAAAACCCAUAGCCAUACACUGGCUGGCCUGUUCUGAGGGUUGUGAGACAGGAUGCUAGGAGACCAGAGAAGAAAGAAAUGUCUCGACGUGAGGAGAAAUCAAGGAAAGCAUGGUUUUAGAAAAUGGGUGGGAUGGUUUUUGUACCGAGAGACUGAAGAGGCUUUUUAAAGUGGAGGGAAGGCAAACUGUGGCAUAAAGAUGCCAAUACCAGGUAUUAUCAGGAAGAACAGAGUCCAAUUUGGCUGGAGCAUAGGGCAUAUGUAGGGGAAGGGAGAGGACUGGCACGGGGGCAGAAGGGGACUUGAAUGUCAGGUGACAGUCAAAGCUUGCACUCUAAUAAGUAGGUGAUUGAUAGGUGAUCUUGGGGACUUUUGAGCAGGAAGAGUGGAUAAUAAAUCAAUACUGGCUUAGGACAAUCCCUUUGGCUUUGGCCAAAUUGUGACUCAGGUAAGGGACGGUUGGGGGAGACAAGGAUGGGAAGAUGCAUGAUAAAUGGGCCCUAUGCUUGGCAGGAAGGCAGUGCAAUAUUUUGUAGAAAUAGACUUAGCAGAGCAGGCGCCCAGCAUUCAGUGAGACCGCAGUUCAAACCCCAUACAGACUCUUAGCUGCUGUAUGACUUGAAGCUGUUAGUAACUCCCCUGAACCUGUCUCAUCUACAAAAUGGGCAUAGUAGCACCUAUGUCAUAGGGUUGCUUCAUGGCAGGUAAUUAUUCUUGUAAAGCAUUUAGCACAGCUCUGACGACACAUGGUGAAUGCUCAGUAAAUAUUAAUGUCACUAAUUCCAGUCAAUUCCAUUAACUGGAAUUAAUUAGUUGGAGUUAGGAAGGAAACAGGUGUCAGCUGGGUCGACUGAGGGAAGCAGAGAUCUCAGGAAGCAGUACAUGGUGGUUCGGUGGGAGCAUGGCAUCUGUGAGGGAGACUGUCUGCAGUGGGAUCCCACCUCUACUGCCGGCCAGCUGUGAUCUUCUACAGGCUACUUAACCCUUCUAGCUCAGCACAGUGUUACCAUGGAGCUGGUGUGAGAGUAAAGUGAGAUAAUUAAUGCAUGUUAAGUGUGUCGUAUGUGCCUGAUACAUUGUUAGUGCCCAGUAAAUGUUAGUCAUCAGGUGAGGGGUGUGAUGUGGGGUUGAAUAGAUUCGCCUCUUCCACUCACAGAGGCAGGAUGUGCAAGGAGGAGUGGAGACAUGCAGCAAGGGAUUGGGCAUGAAGGAUCAGGCCUGGGGAGAACACUUGGCCUGGAGAUAUUCAGGAGUCCCUGGCCCAGAGAUUACAAUUCUGCAGGGAGAUGAGCCACGAGUGGAGUAUUAGAUAUAGGCCUAAGGAAGCAAUCAGACACUUCCAGAAUAAAGGACAUUUGCUAAGACAGCUGGCCUGGUUGCUUCACAAAGUGUCAUCGGAAAAUAUGUCGGGAUUGUUCUAGACUAAAAGUGACUAGAGUUGAAACCAAAAGAAUGUAUGAACCUUGAUGGGACCUGGGGUUUUUUUGUUUUGUUUUGUUUUUUAAAGACAAACAUUCUGGAGACAAUUGUUGAAUACUGAUUAAGGGCUCUAUAUUAGAGGUUAUAAAGAAGUUACUGUUUAUAUUUUUAGGCAUGAUAAUCUUAUUGUAAUCACGUAGAACAAUGUCUUUGUUCUCAGGAAAUCUAUGUGGAAAUACUCAGGGGUGAAAUGUCAUUUUAUGUACACAUGCAUGGGGUGGGGAGAACAGUAAAUCUGGCAAAAUGUUAACUAUUCAAUCCAAGUGGAGAGUACGUAUCUGAGUAUUCAUUGUGCUAGCCUUUCAACUUUUUCUGGAUGUGUGGAAUUUUUCAAUAUAAAAAAA